GACGAACGCUGGCGGCGCGCUUAACACAUGCAAGUCGAACGGAAAGGCCCUGCUUUUGUGGGGUGCUCGAGUGGCGAACGUGUGAGUAACACGUGAGUAACGUGCCCUUGACUUCGGGAUAACUUCAGGAAACUGGGGCUAAUACCGGUUAGGAGCUCCUGCUCCACGGUGGGGGUUGGAAAGUUUCGGCGGUUGGGGAUGUACUCGCGGCUUAUCAGCUUGUUGGUGGGGUAGUGGCUUACCAAGGCUUUGACGGGUAGCCGGCCUGAGAGUGUGAACGGCCACAUGGGGACUGCGGUACGGCCAAGACUCCUACGGGAGGCAGCGGUGGGGGAUGGUGCACAAUGGGAGGAAGCCUGAGGCGGGAACGACGCGUGCGGGAUGACGGACUUCGGGUUGUAAACCGCUAUCGCCUGUGAUGGAGCGUGAGUGACGGUAGUGGGUAAAGAAGCACCGGCUAACUACGUG
This 468-nucleotide ribosomal RNA is filed under the name uncultured bacterium. RNAcentral describes it as "partial 16S ribosomal RNA". It matches the Rfam family "Bacterial small subunit ribosomal RNA", at positions 28 to 507 of the family's 1533-position model. The record is from RNAcentral.